GACGAACGCUGGCGGCGUGCUUAACACAUGCAAGUCGAACGGAAAGGCCCUGCUUUUGUGGGUUGCUCGAGUGGCGAACGGGUGAGUAACACGUGAGUAACCUGCCCUUUACUUUGGGAUAACUUCAGGAAACUGGGGCUAAUACCGGAUAGGAGCUCCUGCUGCAUGGUGGGGGUUGGAAAGUUUAGGCGGGUGGGGAUGGACUCGCGGGUUAUCAGCUUGUUGGUGGGGUAGUGGCUUACCAAGGCUUUGACGGGUAGCCGGCCCGAGAGGGUGACCGGCCACAUUGGGAGUGAGAGACGCGCCAGACUCCUACGGGAGGCAGCAGUGGGGAGUAUUGCACAAUGGGGGGAAGCCUGAUGCCGAAACGCCGCGUGCGGGAUGACGGCCUUCGGGGUGUAAACAGCUUUCGCCUGUGACGAAGAGUGAGUGACGGUAAUGGGUAAAGAAGCACCGGCUAACUACGUG
This 468-nucleotide ribosomal RNA is filed under the name uncultured bacterium. RNAcentral's name for it is "partial 16S ribosomal RNA". It matches the Rfam family "Bacterial small subunit ribosomal RNA", at positions 28 to 507 of the family's 1533-position model. The record is from RNAcentral.